CAUCACGGCAAGUGUUCGACGAAAUGCUCGACGGGGGUGGGUAGGCUGGAGCGGGUAACCCGACCGUUAUCUGUUUACGGGUUGGAUUUUUUUUAUUUUAACUGUUAGUAUUUGUCCAGUAAAAUAGAGAAAACCUCAGCAGUUCACAGUAAAAUAGAGAAAACCGUGUCACUAGUAACGUGCUCGUGCUAAUGCUACGGUGUCAACCAGGGUUUCUCUUACCGCGCAAGCCGCCAAAACCGCGGUACCACGCUAACGUGGUAACGCGCUACCGCGGAUAUCGCAAGGUAAUCGCAAAAACCAUAAUGAAUUUGAAUCCAAAAAAUUGAAUUUAAACUCGCGCGGUUUACGUGGCUUACCGCGUGGUUUGUCACGGUAACUAUUUGUUGGAACAACACAUGAGAACGGCGGUUACCGUGGCUUACUGCGCGGUUUUUUAGCCGAAACCGUGGUUACCGUGAGGAAACCGCGGUUACCGCGAGGAGAACGUGGGUGUGAUGUCAAAUAAAAAAAACUUUAAAAAAUCUAAAAAAUACAUAAAAAAUAGGAAAGUAUUUUGUGACUAUAUUUAUGACAAUAGGACAUGUUAUAAGGAAAACAAGAAAAUUUUCACAUGACAUUUUCUAAAUUCUUAAUAUUGCAACAUACAAACAUACACCAGCAUAUCACACUUCACCAAACAAUUCACUUCAUACAAACAUACACCGUCAUAUCACCCUUCACUAAAUAAUUCAGACCAAUAACAAGUAACAACAACUUUAUUUUGAUUGUUGCGUCACAACUAUACCUACUACCCAUUAUUACGAAUAAAACUAUUAUGCACAUACUAAGAUGCACGUAUAAUUUUCCUCUAUACAUAUUUUCCAUAUAUCUAUCGUUGUAUAUUUGUAUUUCAACAUUAUGUACCCUAGUGUCUAGUGUAAAUUAAUAAUGACUCAACACAAAAUAUUCUUGACCAUCUUCCUGUGAAAUAUUACUUGCAAUAGGCUAUUUUUUAAUUUUGUUUCCCGAAAUACUCGUUUAUGAUUUUUAAUUACGCUGGGAAUACAUUUUUUCAUUAAUUUCUUUGACAAAACUACACCAUAUAUCAACAUAUACCACAUAUAUUUUUUUCAUUAAAUUUCCUCAUUUUUUUUAAAUUCUCCUCAAAUUUAAACUCGGUUACCACGGCUUACCAAAACCGUGCCUCUGUGAGGACUGUAGUUGGUGCACUAUUUAGUAGACUAGUAAUGUGCCCGUGCUAAUGCUACAGUGUCAACUAUAUCAAUUGUUAAAUUUAUUAUCAUAUAAAAUGCAUUCAGGCUUAAAAUCGAUCCAAGUUAUAUAUCAAAUAUUAUAUUGUAAAGUGCAAAUAGUAUGAUCUGCAUAUAUAUUUAGCCUGAUACCAUCGAAUAUAAUAUUUUUAUAUUGUGAACAAAAUGUAUCCAUAUGGAGAAACAUAAGCUAACACCAUGGCUAAAAUGCCCCUGCUCAAUUUAAAAGCAUGGCAGCCUGUCCACCUCCAGGCCGAAAGAACGCCCAGCAAAAAAACAAACAGCACCCAGGUGGACAGAGCAUCCAUUCAGCUUAUUUGCAAACAUUAAAAUGCAUCCAUUCAGCUGAUUUGCAAACAUUAAAAUUAAAUCCCAGGCAUUCAUCAUCAUAUAAUAAAUCAUAUUAUACAUGAAUUUGUGUCAUCAACGUUAAAUUCAGUAUAAUAAGCGGCAACUAAAGUCAUUUCUUACUCCAAAAAUUAAUUUCUAGGUUCUACCAUGCAACUAAACACUAAAUUCAGGGAAAUGCACUAACUAAAAUCGUAGCAGUAUACUAACUAAUCAAAAAAUUUAGAGCACUAAAAUUGAAAUAGGGCUUACCGGGGGAGGAGAGCUGGCAGCACGACGGCCGGGUACUGCCGCUGCCCGGGGGGGAAUUGCCGGCGCCACCCCGAGGCGGCAACCUGGCCACGGCGGCCGGGGAUGGCGCGGCUGCAGGGGGGNNNNNNNNNNNNNNNNNNNNNNNNNNNNNNNNNCGACCGUGCAGAUCGGCGGGGAACUGGGGGAAGGCGGCGUCGGGCGUGGCUGCCUGAUGGGAGGACGAGCCGACGCUACUGUCCAGCCAGUAGGCCCAGUAUGUCUAUUCAGAAUAGAAGAGGGUAUUUCUGGACAUUUAGUGUA
This 2153-nucleotide long non-coding RNA is filed under the name Oryza brachyantha (malo sina). RNAcentral's name for it is "long non-coding RNA (OBRA_LNC003332)". Lineage: Eukaryota; Viridiplantae; Streptophyta; Magnoliopsida; Poales; Poaceae. The record is from RNAcentral.